Molecule: ribosomal RNA, 1374 nt
Filed under: uncultured bacterium
Lineage: Bacteria
Description: bacterial SSU rRNA
Rfam family: Bacterial small subunit ribosomal RNA
Source: RNAcentral
GAUGAACGCUGGCGGCGUGCCUAAUACAUGCAAGUCGAGCGAACGGACGAGAAGCUUGCUUCUCUGAUGUUAGCGGCGGACGGGUGAGUAACACGUGGAUAACCUACCUAUAAGACUGGGAUAACUUCGGGAAACCGGAGCUAAUACCGGAUGAUAUUUUGAACCGCAUGGUUCAAAAGUGAAAGACGGUCUUGCUGUCACUUAUAGAUGGAUCCGCGCUGCAUUAGCUAGUUGGUAAGGUAACGGCUUACCAAGGCAACGAUGCAUAGCCGACCUGAGAGGGUGAUCGGCCACACUGGAACUGAGACACGGUCCAGACUCCUACGGGAGGCAGCAGUAGGGAAUCUUCCGCAAUGGGCGAAAGCCUGACGGAGCAACGCCGCGUGAGUGAUGAAGGUCUUCGGAUCGUAAAACUCUGUUAUUAGGGAAGAACAUAUGUGUAAGUAACUGUGCACAUCUUGACGGUACCUAAUCAGAAAGCCACGGCUAACUACGUGCCAGCAGCCGCGGUAAUACGUAGGUGGCAAGCGUUAUCCGGAAUUAUUGGGCGUAAAGCGCGCGUAGGCGGUUUUUUAAGUCUGAUGUGAAAGCCCACGGCUCAACCGUGGAGGGUCAUUGGAAACUGGAAAACUUGAGUGCAGAAGAGGAAAGUGGAAUUCCAUGUGUAGCGGUGAAAUGCGCAGAGAUAUGGAGGAACACCAGUGGCGAAGGCGACUUUCUGGUCUGUAACUGACGCUGAUGUGCGAAAGCGUGGGGAUCAAACAGGAUUAGAUACCCUGGUAGUCCACGCCGUAAACGAUGAGUGCUAAGUGUUAGGGGGUUUCCGCCCCUUAGUGCUGCAGCUAACGCAUUAAGCACUCCGCCUGGGGAGUACGACCGCAGGGUUGAAACUCAAAGGAAUUGACGGGGACCCGCACAAGCGGUGGAGCAUGUGGUUUAAUUCGAAGCAACGCGAAGAACCUUACCAAAUCUUGACAUCCUUUGACAACUCUAGAGAUAGAGCCUUCCCCUUCGGGGGGGACAAAGUGACAGGUGGUGCAUGGUUGUCGUCAGCUCGUGUCGUGAGAUGUUGGGUUAAGUCCCGCAACGAGCGCAACCCUUAAGCUUAGUUGCCAUCAUUAAGUUGGGCACUCUAAGUUGACUGCCGGUGACAAACCGGAGGAAGGUGGGGAUGACGUCAAAUCAUCAUGCCCCUUAUGAUUUGGGCUACACACGUGCUACAAUGGACAAUACAAAGGGCAGCGAAACCGCGAGGUCAAGCAAAUCCCAUAAAGUUGUUCUCAGUUCGGAUUGUAGUCUGCAACUCGACUACAUGAAGCUGGAAUCGCUAGUAAUCGUAGAUCAGCAUGCUACGGUGAAUACGUUCCCGGGUCU